GACGAACGCUGGCGGCGUGCCUAAUACAUGCAAGUAGAACGCACAGUUUAUACCGUAGCUUGCUACACCAUAGACUGUGAGUUGCGAACGGGUGAGUAACGCGUAGGUAACCUGCCUGGUAGCGGGGGAUAACUAUUGGAAACGAUAGCUAAUACCGCAUAAUAUUAAUUAUUGCAUGAUAAUUGAUUGAAAGAUGCAACUGCAUCACUACCAGAUGGACCUGCGUUGUAUUAGCUAGUAGGUGAGGUAACGGCUCACCUAGGCGACGAUACAUAGCCGACCUGAGAGGGUGAUCGGCCACACUGGGACUGAGACACGGCCCAGACGCCGACGGGAGGCAGCAGUAGGGAAUCUUCGGCAAUGGACGAAAGUCUGACCGAGCAACGCUGCGGGAGUGAAGAAGGUUGUCGGAUCGUAAAGCUCUGUUGUAAGAGAAGAACGGGUGUGAGAGUGGAAAGUUCACACUGUGACGGUAUCUUACCAGAAAGGGACGGCUAACUACGUG
RNAcentral lists this ribosomal RNA (505 nucleotides) under uncultured bacterium. RNAcentral describes it as "partial 16S ribosomal RNA". It matches the Rfam family "Bacterial small subunit ribosomal RNA", at positions 28 to 507 of the family's 1533-position model. The record is from RNAcentral.